Molecule: ribosomal RNA, 394 nt
Filed under: uncultured bacterium
Lineage: Bacteria
Description: bacterial SSU rRNA
Rfam family: Bacterial small subunit ribosomal RNA
Source: RNAcentral
AUUGAACGCUGGCGGCAUGCCUUACACAUGCAAGUCGAACGGCAGCACGGGGGCAACCCUGGUGGCGAGUGGCGAACGGGUGAGUAACAUAUCGGAACAUACCCUAGAGUGGGGGAUAACGUAGCGAAAGUUACGCUAAUACCGCAUACGAUCUAAGGAUGAAAGUGGGGGAUCUUCGGACCUCAUGCUCAUGGAGUGGCCGAUAUCUGAUUAGCUAGUUGGUGAGGUAAAGGCUCACCAAGGCGACGAUCAGUAGCUGGUUUGAGAGAACGACCAGCCACACUGGAACUGAGACACGGUCCAGACUCCUACGGGAGGCAGCAGUGGGGAAUUUUGGGACAAUGGGGGCAACCCUGAUCCAGCAAUGCCGCGUGAGUGAAGAAGGACCUUCGGG